This 388-nucleotide ribosomal RNA is filed under the name uncultured bacterium. Its description in RNAcentral is "bacterial SSU rRNA". It matches the Rfam family "Bacterial small subunit ribosomal RNA", at positions 29 to 416 of the family's 1533-position model. The record is from RNAcentral.
AUUGAACGCUGGCGGCAUGCCUUACACAUGCAAGUCGAACGGCAGCACGGGAGCAAUCCUGGUGGCGAGUGGCGAACGGGUGAGUAAUAUAUCGGAACGUGCCCAGUAGUGGGGGAUAGCCCGGCGAAAGCCGGAUUAAUACCGCAUACGACCUGAGGGUGAAAGCGGGGGAGUCGCAAGACCUCGCGCUAUUGGAGCGGCCGAUAUCAGAUUAGCUAGUUGGUGGGGUAAAGGCCUACCAAGGCUACGAUCUGUAGUUGGUCUGAGAGGACGACCAGCCACACUGGGACUGAGACACGGCCCAGACUCCUACGGGAGGCAGCAGUGGGGGAAUUUUGGACAAUGGGCGCAAGCCUGAUCCAGCAAUGCCGCGUGCAGGAAGAAGGCC